UACGGGGGGGGCAAGCGUUGUUCGGAAUUACUGGGUUUAAAGGGCGCGUAGGCGGCCUUCUAAGUCGAGCGUGAAAUCCCUGGGCUCAACCCAGGAACUGCGUCCGAUACUGGAAGGCUUGAAUCCGGGAGAGGGAUGCGGAAUUCCAGGUGUAGCGGUGAAAUGCGUAGAUAUCUGGAGGAACACCGGUGGCGAAGGCGGCAUCCUGGACCGGUAUUGACGCUGAGGCGCGAAAGCCAGGGGAGCAAACGGG
This 253-nucleotide ribosomal RNA is filed under the name uncultured bacterium. RNAcentral's name for it is "partial 16S ribosomal RNA". It matches the Rfam family "Bacterial small subunit ribosomal RNA", at positions 524 to 776 of the family's 1533-position model. The record is from RNAcentral.